This 253-nucleotide ribosomal RNA is filed under the name uncultured bacterium. RNAcentral describes it as "partial 16S ribosomal RNA". It matches the Rfam family "Bacterial small subunit ribosomal RNA", at positions 524 to 776 of the family's 1533-position model. The record is from RNAcentral.
UACGUAGGUGGCAAGCGUUGUCCGGAUUUAUUGGGUUUAAAGGGUGCGUAGGCGGCUUAUUAAGUCAGUGGUGAAAUACUCUAGCUCAACUAGAGGGGUGCCAUUGAUACUGAUGAGCUUGAGUACAGAUGAGGUAGGCGGAAUUCCGGGUGUAGCGGUGGAAUGCGUAGAGAUCCGGAAGAACACCGGUGGCGAAGGCGGCCUGCUGGGACAUGGCUGACGCUGAGGCGCGACAGCGUGGGGAGCAAACAGG